GACGAACGCUGGCGGCGUGCCUAACACAUGCAAGUCGAGCGAGGGACUUCGGUCCCUAGCGGCGGACGGGUGAGUAACAUGUGGGUAACCUGCCCCAUAGAGGGGGAUAGCCUCCCGAAAGGGAGAUUAAUACCGCAUAACAUUAUGCUAUCGCAUGGGAAUAUAAUCAAAGGAGCAAUCCGCUACAGGAUGGGCCCGCGUCGCAUUAGUUGGUUGGUGGGGUAAUGGCCUACCAAGACGACGAUGCGUAGCCGACCUGAGAGGGUGAUCGGCCACAUUGGGACUGAGACACGGCCCAGACUCCUACGGGAGGCAGCAGUGGGGAAUAUUGCACAAUGGAGGAAACUCUGAUGCAGCAACGCCGCGUGAGCGAUGAAGGUCUUCGGAUCGUAAAGCUCUGUCUUUAGGGAUGAUAAUGACAGUACCUAAGGAGGAAGCCACGGCUAACUACGUGCCAGCCGCCGCAGUAA
Molecule: ribosomal RNA, 470 nt
Filed under: uncultured bacterium
Lineage: Bacteria
Description: partial 16S ribosomal RNA
Rfam family: Bacterial small subunit ribosomal RNA
Source: RNAcentral